This 253-nucleotide ribosomal RNA is filed under the name uncultured bacterium. RNAcentral's name for it is "partial 16S ribosomal RNA". It matches the Rfam family "Bacterial small subunit ribosomal RNA", at positions 524 to 776 of the family's 1533-position model. The record is from RNAcentral.
UACAGAGGGGGCAAGCGUUGUUCGGAAUUACUGGGCGUAAAGGGCGCGUAGGCGGCCCGCUAAGUCGAACGUGAAAUCCCCGGGCUCAACCCGGGAACUGCGUCCGAUACUGGCAGGCUUGAAUCCGGGAGAGGGAUGCGGAAUUCCAGGUGUAGCGGUGAAAUGCGUAGAUAUCUGGAGGAACACCGAUGGCGAAGGCAGCCCCCUGGGCUAACACUGACGCUCAUGCACGAAAGCGUGGGGAGCAAACAGG